Molecule: ribosomal RNA, 520 nt
Filed under: uncultured Glomus
Lineage: Eukaryota; Fungi; Glomeromycota; Glomeromycetes; Glomerales; Glomeraceae
Description: SSU rRNA
Rfam family: Eukaryotic small subunit ribosomal RNA
Source: RNAcentral
AGCAGCCGCGGUAAUUCCAGCUCCAAUAGCGUAUAUUAAAGUUGUUGCAGUUAAAAAGCUCGUAGUUGAAUUUCGGGAUCAAGGCGUCGGUCGUGCUUCGGUACGUACUGGCGUCAUUGAUUUCUCCCUUCUGACGAACCAUGAUGCCAUUAACUUGGUGUUACGGGAAAUCAGGACUGUUACUUUGAAAAAAUUAGAGUGUUUAAAGCAGGCUCACGCUUGAAUACAUUAGCAUGGAAUAAUGAAAUAGGACGUUCGAUCCUAUUUUGUUGGUUUUUAGGAUCAACGUAAUGAUUAAUAGGGAUAGUUGGGGGCAUUAGUAUUCAAUUGUCAGAGGUGAAAUUCUUGGAUUUAUUGAAGACUAACUACUGCGAAAGCAUUUGCCAAGGAUGUUUUCAUUAAUCAAGAACGAAAGUUAGGGGAUCGAAGACGAUCAGAUACCGUCGUAGUCUUAACCAUAAACUAUGCCGACUAGGGAUCGGAUGAUGUUAAUAUUUUAAUGACUCAUUCGUCGCCUUAA